RNAcentral lists this ribosomal RNA (468 nucleotides) under uncultured bacterium. RNAcentral's name for it is "partial 16S ribosomal RNA". It matches the Rfam family "Bacterial small subunit ribosomal RNA", at positions 28 to 507 of the family's 1533-position model. The record is from RNAcentral.
GACGAACGCUGGCGGCGUGCUUAACAUAUGCAAGUCGAACGGAAAGGCCCUGCUUUUGUGGGGUGCUCGAGUGGCGAACGGGUGAGUAACACGUGAGUAACCUGCCCUUGACUUUGGGAUAACUUCAGGAAACUGGGGCUAAUACCGGAUAGGAGCUCCUGCUGCAUGGUGGGGGUUGGAAAGUUUCGGCGGUUGGGGAUGGACUCGCGGCUUAUCAGCUUGUUGGUGGGGUAGUGGCUUACCAAGGCUUUGACGGGUAGCCGGCCUGAGAGGGUGACCGGCCACAUUGGGACUGAGAUACGGCCCAGUCUCCUACGGGAGGCAGCAGUGGGGAAUAUUGCACAAUGGGCGGAAGCCUGAUGCAGCAACGCCGCGUGCGGGAUGACGGCCUUCGGGUUGUAAACCGCUUUCGCCUGUGACGAAGCGUGAGUGACGGUAAUGGGUAAAGAAGCACCGGCUAACUACGUG